UGCUGCUAUGCUUUUGAAAUAUGGCCUUGGAGAAGUAGAGGCUGCUGAAAGAAUAGAGUGCAGUUCUCGAGACACUGAACAGGGGAUUUCGAACUGCUGACAUAUAUUCUGCCGGAACAAAGCUGGUAGGAUGCAAACAAUUAGGCGAAGAGAUACUGAAGUCGGUUGAAUCUCAUGCUCCCCACGGCUGCAGCAGUGUGAUUUUAAGACCAACUCAGCAUAGAUAUCCCUAGUCUUUAGUGCUUUGGCUUUCAUAUGCGGUUUUUGUAUUUUUCAAACUGGCAUUGAAUCCGGGAUUAUUAGUUACUUAGUUCCCUUCAUUAUGCAUGUUAUAAUAGUGUAUCAAUGAAAUAUAGAGGUCAGAAUUUUUAAUGCCAUUCUGAAAAACUGAGCAGACCUUGACAAAUCCAUGGGGCAUUCACACAACACUCAGACAAGGAUAUUGCAAGCUUUAAAAUGCGUAUGAUUUGUAUUCCUCUUCUUUUUAUGGUCUCAUUAAUAUUCCUCCUCUCUUUUAAAGGGAUUUAUAUUACAUUUCUCUCUUAUAUCAUUGUAUGUUAAGGCUAUGCUCAAAGUAAACAUAUAAGAAUGUAUAUCUAAAGAUUGAUGGUA
This is a long non-coding RNA of Trifolium pratense (red clover), 612 nucleotides long. RefSeq lists it as uncharacterized. The record is from RefSeq and is a predicted model, not a curated record. NCBI's taxonomy places the organism in Eukaryota, Viridiplantae, Streptophyta, Magnoliopsida, Fabales, Fabaceae. The transcript is spliced from 2 exons.